GUGUUUGUAGAAAGGGGAGACGGUUGGCAUCUCCCUGAAAAUUCUUCGGAUAUUCCUAUAGUGAAAGCGUGUUCUCAGUGGAUGAAAGUUCAGUUUAUAGAUAUUUUCAUCUUUUUAA
This 118-nucleotide non-coding RNA is filed under the name Oryza sativa Japonica Group (Japanese rice). The record is from RNAcentral. Lineage: Eukaryota; Viridiplantae; Streptophyta; Magnoliopsida; Poales; Poaceae.